Molecule: long non-coding RNA, 518 nt
Filed under: Setaria italica (foxtail millet)
Lineage: Eukaryota; Viridiplantae; Streptophyta; Magnoliopsida; Poales; Poaceae
Description: long non-coding RNA (SITA_LNC000131)
Source: RNAcentral
ACUCUCUUUCUCUCUCUCUCUCUACGCAGUACGCACACACUCUUUCUCUCUCCUCCUCGAUGGAGAGGAAGGAAGGAGCUUUUGAUCCGGUAAAUUAAUGCGGGAGCAAUGGGAGUAGGUGAAAGGUGAUGAAGGCCAUGUUUAGUUACUCCCAACUCCCAACUUUGACACUAUGCAAAAAGAAGAUUCCCCAUCACAUCAAACUUGCGGUACAUGCAUGGAGUACUAAAUGUAGAUGAAAUUAAAAACUAAUUGCACAGUUUUGUUGUACUUUGCGAGACGAAUCUUUUGAGCCUAAUUAGUCAAUAUUUGGACAAUAAUUCACAAAUACAAACGAAACGCUACAGUGUGCUACAGUGCUGUAACAGUAAUUUGGCACCUCCCAAAUUCCCCAACUAAACACGGCCGAAGUCCGAAGUGUGCCUGCAGAGGCCAGCAGGAAGAAAAAGCUGGACUGAUUGAUGCUCUGCUAAUGGUGUGGACUAUGGACAAAGGUUUAUACCAGUACAGUCAACCAU